This 128-nucleotide non-coding RNA is filed under the name Janibacter sp. Lineage: Bacteria; Bacillati; Actinomycetota; Actinomycetes; Micrococcales; Intrasporangiaceae. The record is from RNAcentral.
UCGUGGAGCAGUCCUGUGGGUAGGCUGCCGUUCGGCUGAGCAGGAUGGAACCCGGUGCGAGUCCGGGACGGUCCCGCCACUGUGAGCGAUUGAUCGCGAGUCAGACACGUUCGCUCGGCCGGUCCGUC